This 329-nucleotide ribosomal RNA is filed under the name uncultured eukaryote. RNAcentral's name for it is "partial 18S ribosomal RNA". It matches the Rfam family "Eukaryotic small subunit ribosomal RNA", at positions 1470 to 1796 of the family's 1831-position model. The record is from RNAcentral.
CCCUUAGAUGUCCUGGGCCGCACGCGCGCUACACUGACAUGUUCAACAAGCCUCCUAGUUCGACAGGAUUUGGGAAAUCUUUGAACGCAUGUCGUGAUAGGGAUAGAUCAUUGCAAUUAUUGAUCUUGAACGAGGAAUUCCUAGUAAGCGCAAGUCAUCAACUUGCGUUGAUUACGUCCCUGCCCUUUGUACACACCGCCCGUCGCUACUGCCAACUGAGAUGGGUCCUGAAUUGUUAGGAACGCCCGUCAAGGGGCCUACCCGGUCCCUAGUGCGGUGACGAGAAUAACUGUAAAUGGCAUAUCUUGUAGGGAGUAAAAGUCGUAACA